This 34009-nucleotide long non-coding RNA is filed under the name Musa acuminata (dwarf banana). RNAcentral describes it as "long non-coding RNA (MACU_LNC002246)". The record is from RNAcentral. Lineage: Eukaryota; Viridiplantae; Streptophyta; Magnoliopsida; Zingiberales; Musaceae.
AAACCAACAGCGUUUCAGAUCUCAAGUCGUUUUCUUGAAUCACCACCACAUGUUCUUCCACCCCACACUCCUCAUCGACUCAACAUUAUCACUGUAGUUAUAAGUCGGCAGACGUGUGCAUCUUUCACUGUCUGUCAUUAGCAGUCCUAACUGUGCUGCUUUCUACACUCACUCCAUGACAAGAUGGUAUUAGCUUUCAUUUCUGAGAAGAUACCAUGGAGUCAUCGAAGAAACUCCAACCUCUGGUCAUCUGAGCACCACGUCGUCCGCCCACCCACACGAUCGCCUCUCCUACUCCAACACCAAACCCCAUGGCAGGCACCUCAGGAUCAGACAAGCCAUGUCUCCGAGUGUAGGCUUGGCACCUGUGGAGACAUGAGAGCCCACGUCUUCCUCUUCGAUGCUGAGAGCCCACCACCUGCUGGGUCUCGGAUUGGGUGGGGAUGCCACCGGCCGGUCGCUGUCUUUCUGGGGAACCAGAAUUCCGUCGCCACAGAAUUCCCUAACACUCCAAAGCCCCAAGCGUUCAUCACCAAACAUUUUUGGUCUUGCAUGUACGCACGCCAAUGGCGAUGAUUCCUCCACGUAAGAAAAGUAGUGAUCGGCUAUAUCUCUUCCUCGCUCCUCAUUGCCGCCCACACACACCCCCAUUUAACUCCCACCACACCUCGGCAGCCCUUCCCUCUCCCUAUCCGGCUGCCGCCCUCAACCACAUGAUCGAGGUCAUGUCCUCGUCCAACCCGUGCGACGUCUGCCGCGGCGCCGGCGGCCCGUGCCCCCGCUGCACCGACCUCAACCGCGCGGCGCCGACGUUCGACGACCCGGUAAUUCGAGGCCCCGGCGAGCUGCGCGAGUUCCAGUUCUUCGGGCACGACAGCGCGGUGGCGUGGAUGUUCAACGAUCUGAACUACGACGGGCCGCCGCCGGAGGAGGAAAGGCCGCCGGUGCCCUCUGGGUACCAGCCUCUUUGUAGCUUGAGAGAAACCAGCGAUGAGUUCGGAGAUGGGUUGACUUUUGAUGUCUGCUUGAGUGCGACUCGGCCGCCGGACUCGAUCCAGGUCUCGACCGCGGCAGGUCUGGCCAUGAGACAGCCAGCGUCGAGCGCCACCAUCGUGAGUGUCCAGCUCUGUUCGAUCUCUCAUAGCAGUUUUGUGGUUUCUGCGGUCAUCGGUGGCGGCAUAACCACGGCCUAUUAUUCUUCCACCUUUUAUUUCCCCUUCUUCUCCUCUUUAGAAGAUUUCCUAUUUCAUGUGACCUUGAAAUUUAUAAGGUAGGAAAAUUAUGUGCCCAAUCUCAAUCAAAUUAUCCACAAACAAAAAGAAAUCUAUCACGUACCGCAGCCAAGGAAUAUGCUGUAGAACUAGAAAGGAGAUCAGAUUCAUUGCACCAAUUCUAAUCUUUCCUGAUACCAAGUUCUUUCUUGUCGAUUUCUACACUAAUGAACCUAAUGGUCAUCUUCCAGCAUCAGCGAAUCCAUCAUCAUUAUCCGAUUGGAAACAUCCACUGAUACAAUUAUUAUUUCAUGUGCCUUCCGUAAGCAGGCAUUUUGAGCAAGCCAAACUUUUCUCUCAUGAAUCUGUUGUCUUAAUGACUCCCAAAACUUCUUCGUAGAUGUCCUUCUCGGGCACCACAUUCACGGACGCUUCGAGUGGGAGCAACCAAGAGGUGGGACAUCCCACGGACGGCGGCCGAGGCAGCGACGCCAGCAGGGAGAGAGAAGCCAAGAUCAUGAGGUACAAGGAGAAGCGGAAGAAGCGGCGGUACGAGAAGCAAGUGCGGUACGAGUCGAGGAAGGCGUACGCGGAAAUGAGGCCGAGGGUGAAAGGCCGGUUCGCCAAGACGCUGGCUGCGAACGACCAGCCGCCGCCGCCGGAGAGGUCUUAUGAUCCUAACAGCCUUGGUUUCAGCUGGUUCCGUUCCUAGCUAGACCUUGAUCCUUGAGCUGUGGUUUCGAUCUAACAAGUGUGACAGUGCUUUGAUCCUUAAUUGCUGCUUUACUCUUGUAUUGCUUGCUAAUCUUACUGUUGUAUUGCUUUUAAUCAUAUGUACUCUUGAGAUUAUGAGUAUCAACUCCCGAAUAUACACUCUUGUUCGUGUUAGGGUUCUUUAGUAUCUUAGGAGAUUCCAAGGAGUCUUAUUAGAUUCUAACUAUUGGAAGGAGUUCUAAUUAAAUUUAUUUUUAAAAUAAAUUUAAAUUUGAAUUUAACUCUAUAUAUAUAUAUAUAUAUAUUAUUCGUGUGUGUGUGUAUAUAUAUAUAUAUGCUUUUGAUUAAGAUAUGGAAAGAUCUUUUCUGUUGGUCGGAAUGAGGUAGAAAGACUGUGACUUCGCUCACAUCAGGAAUGUUUGACGAUAAAAGGAAGAUGAAGCUUUAACUCUCAAUUAUGGGGAAGCGAAGAGGAAGAGGCGCCAUUUCUGCUCCGGUGCCCCCUUUGCUACGAGGCCAACAAGGUAUGGUCUUUCCGCUCCGGGCCUUGCUUUUCUUUCCUUUGUAUUUCUCUCUGUCGGGUAAUGCGAAUACAAUUUCUUGUGUGAUUUGGUACUGCCAUUUCCAAGGUUGGAAUUAGAUGUUCAUUGCAGGGCAUGGGAAGGGAAAUUUAACAUUCAGGAUCGAGUCUUGUUUUCAUUCUUCCUCAUCGAUGCAGUAGUUCACUGAUCGAUCUCGUACUCGGAUCGAUACCUUGUCCGUGUUGCCUAUGUUGCAGCCCUUUUCUCAACCUAGAAAUACCAGAUCAGAUGUUUCCCGGGUGGAUUUUGGUCGUGACUGUUGCAUCUAAUAGUUUCCCUUCUUCCCCACUGAUUGACCAUGCCGCCGUUGUCCAAACAUUUUCACUUCUUGUGGACUGGGUCGUGAUUGCGUCUACCAUGUGUUCGUUAAAAGGACCACUGGCUGCUGUCAUGGAAAGUGCCCAAUUUGUGGCGUAGGUUUUAGGCCUAAGGAUGCGAACUCGAUCUACCCAUGAUCUGGAUUUGAGUGUUGUUCGUGUUGAAGAUACUAAAUCCAUUGUGGUAUUUGAUCCAUCUUUUAGUAGACAUGCAUCUAGCUGCUUUACUUGGUUGCUAAACAAAGAAUGAACAGUAGACCAAAAUUAGCAUCAAGGCUUAGUACCUGUUGAAAGCCUUCUUUCCUAUGGGGGUUGCUGCAUGAUUGCACUCCUUUAGAUGUCACUUUCAGUACAACAACUGAAGGGGGGCAGUGAAGCACCAUUGACUGCACAUGCCAUCAGUUUGUGAAGUGAUCAUGAAUAGGACAGAAACAUGUCAUCAACAAGGUGUUGUAUGUUCGCAAAGUUGAUGUAGUCACUCUUGAUAUGCCUGAUAUCUUGAAGAUAUAUGGAAUUUAGUAGGGAGUUUUAGGAGAUAGUUAUAGUAGUUAGGUUGUGUCCAUGUAUUGAUGGUCACUCAAACUAUCAUCUUCUUCCUCAUCUCCUCUUUGAAUUCCUAAUCUCCAUCAGAAAACAGCUUGGCUUCUGAUUCGCCUUGAACUCCAUCACUGGAUCAUCUUGCAGUGAGACUGUGUUGCAGACUUGGGUGGCUAACUUCAACUCCUCUUCCUUCUUCAGUGUCUUUCUCAUCAAUGCAUAUUAAUAUUGUGUCUCCAUUAAUUUCUCCACGGCAAUAAGCCUGUGACAGAAGUCUAGUUGAUAUAAAAAUCCAGUCUCUACCGACAACUCACAUGGAAGACUGUCAUUCUUCCUGUCUCCAGAAAGUUGGCACAGCUCAGCGGAGGGCAAUACUGAAACAGUUUGCCUAUUUGAGCUCAAUAGAAAACAAAAGGAAAUGACUCCAAAAGGAACUCUAUGACCUUGAUUUAGUCCACCUCACAUUGAGAUGGUUUACUCUCACUGCAGACAUGAUAUGAUCAUUUUGAUUUUGUGUGUUUGCUUGUGCAGACUAUUGUAUUAUAGCAAUAUGAAUGAUGGGGAUGUUACAGAUUAUAUUCAACUACUGCAAUUUAGUUUAAGGAUUAACAAGUAUAUCACAUGUUUCAAGUGAAGAUCAAACUUUUGCCUGGGGUUAGAUUCAGAUACUCAUCUGCAGUAGCAGAAUCUUUAUACAUUUAAAUGCUGAAUCAAAGAUUAUGGAACAAUGGCAGUCGAGGUUUGACAAGUAGUGAGAGACAAUACAUUUUCUGAGGUUGGAUUUUUCUCCUUAACACUGACAUGGUAGUAAUGGCCAGUACUGCGUGAGAAUUCAUUUAGUCCUCUCUGGCUUGGUGGAACAGUGGACUAAUCUGCUCGUCUCUUUCUCCUGUAACCCCAAUUGAAUAGUGUCUUUGUGGCCAUAGGUGUUGAGAGGUUUGAAAUGAAUGACAUGUGGAAACAGUACGCUUAUUCAAGUCUUCAAAAAAUGGACUGACCUCACUUGAAUAAGAGAAGGUGAUAUCAUAACCUGGAGUCAGGUGAUUGUGAUAGCAUUAGGAAAGGAAGGUCAAUCUCUCACCUAACAAGAAACAUAGUACAAAAUAAGGCCAUCAAUUAAAAGGGUAUUAAAUGUGGGUUAAUCCAAACCCAGGUGCAAUGGCAAAUGAGCAAUGGAGGGGUAAUCGUGCACUCGACGACAAUUAACACCCUUCUCAGGCAUCAUAUAGAGCACAGGAAAUCAUACUCCACCUUGAAUCGAACCCACCACCCAAGUAGUAGUACAUAUUACUCAAACAGGGCCAGCAGCACCUCUUCCUACCACCACUUAACACCGCCUCUCUCUCUCUCUCUCUCUCUCUCUAUCUAUCUCUCUCUGUCAUUGUUUUGCUGCACAAGUUUGGCCGUCAGCACCGUCAUCGUCGCCGUGUAAUGGCGACGGGAUGGGUCAAGUCCCUGCAUUGCAAGUCUAACGCCGUGGAAGACGUCGUCUAUCCGCCGACGCCGUCGUCCAAGAAGCCGCUGCUCUCCACCGUCUCUUGCAGCAACUCCUCUCACGCUGUUAAGGACGUCGUCUUCCUCUUCCCCAAGCAACCCCGCUCCUCCUCCUCCUCCUAUGCGCUGAACAAGAAGCCACUGCCCGAGACGACGCAGAACCACAAUCGCAAGCAGAGGCCCGCAAGAGCGUCUCCGUCGACGCCGGCGCACGGGCUCGUGCGGCCCGUCCACGCGGACCCGUUCCCGACGAUGGAGGAGCUGCCGAAGGGCCACUCCUCGCGGCGGGUGGUGGAGAUCAUCUUCAGCUCGAGCUGGUCCGCUUCCGCCGGGGGCGCGUUCCCGGGCGAGAUCGAGAUGCUCUUCCGGGUCGACAACCCGGCCUGGACGCUAGCCCGGUUCGAGGAGCACCGCGCGGCGGUCCGCGGUCGGGCCGUCGAUGGCGCCCGCUGCGCCGCGGACGGGAACGAGGUGUUGAGGUUCCACCUCGGGCGCGGCGCCGGCGGCGUGUACGACGCCGGGGUGGCGCGUGACGUGGUGCGGUCGUCGGCCGGGGGGAAGGCGAAGGGGGUCCGAACCUUCGCGGGGAGCGGCGGCGCGCACGCGAGUGGCGACGGCGGGGACGGUCGGAAGGGGAUGUUGGUGUGCCGGGUCAUCGCGGGCCGCGUCAGGGGCGAGUCGGACCACACCGAGUCGGACGCCGACUCGGUGAGCCUGGGCAACGGGGAGCUCGUAGUAUUCGAUCCCAGAGCGGUCCUCCCCUGCUUCCUUAUCAUCUACAAGCUCUAAACUCAACCCUCAACAAUGGCUUUCUCCCUUUCGUCUUCAAAGAUGUCUUCUUUUCUGGUGGUCAUCCUCCAACUCGGCUUACCGACCCGGCGAUGCCAAUGACUGUGGGGAGACGGUCUGAUCGUGUAAAAAUCCCUCUUUUUGGCACAGGUAUAGAAUUUUUGUCUGUUCUUGGUGUGCUUGAGUGUGACUGAGGCAUAUUGUCUGUGUUACAAGAAACCUGCAUCUUGUGAUGUUAGAUCUACUUGGGCAAAUGGUAGGACCAGUGUUCUCGACUUGCUAAGGGGAGCAAGAAUCCGCGAAGGUGAAGGAUCUGAGGUCCACUGCUCUGAUGAGAUUUGUCGAGUAUAGUGCAGCAUAUCGGUAACUUGAGAUUUUGUUGGAUCUUCUCAAUAUGUAUCAUGUGGUCAAUUCUAUAUUUAUGUGAGAUAGAUUGGAUGAUAGUAGAAGUAUAUAAUAUAUGUCAAGUGAAUAGAUACACAUCUAUUUUUAGCUCAUGCCCACUGCAUUCAUGGCAUGGUCCCUGCUUGGAUUCACUCAAUGGCAAGCAGAUUGUUCGGUAACUAUUGCCAUCGCCAUUGCCAUGCGAGAUGAAGAUUGUGGAAUUUUGGCAACCAUGGAAUCAUGUGAAAGAAACCUUCACUUCUCUACAGUGGGUUAGCAGAUAAAGGACAUGCGAGCUUAUCAUCCCAGGAUCUUCUCGAGGUAGGUUAGAUUGAUCAAACAUGGGUGCUACAUGCAAACAAGAAAGAGAGUCAUCAAUCUUGGACAGAUUAAAACAUUUGGUAUGUGCUGCUCUAACCAGAAAUAGAACUAUUGAUGCAUCAGCUACAGCCUACAAGAGAAUGUGGUGUUGGAGACAGUUGACCAAAAAGAGUCUCCUUGGUUUCAUCACUGACCAGAGAUGUCACUAAAUCAAUGUCCAUCAUCGAGGAGAAACUCCAUUACUAUGCUUUCACUCUGCUGCCAGGAGACAAGUUGGUAUUUCUGACUUCCUUCAUUCAUGACUGACUCCGUUUAGAAUUCAGGGACCAAACUCCAUUAAGCUACUGUGAUGCUUAUGUCAUCUUUGAUCAAAGGUUUGUCCUCGACCAGCCUUUCUGACUCAUUUAUAGCUUUUCUGGCGAAAUCAGAUCACUGUCAAAACAGCUCUUUACAGUUCUUGUGAUCUCUGUUUCAGCAAGGCAACCAGAUUCUCUUGAUUUAGGAGACUGGCAUUAAGGGAUGGUUAUUUUGGAUGUUUCAAAAGGACUAUACUAGUGAAACCAAGUAGAGGUCUGAAUCGAUUGAUGUAGAAAAUUAUGGAAUGAGUUAUGAUUAGAGAUGAAAUAUCACUGGAUUAUAAAGCUAACUAAGUUUUUUUCUUGAAUCGAUAUCUGAUCUAGAGAAACUCUGAAUGGUAGAUAUGGCCAUCACUGAAUCCUUAAAAAUGUGUUCAAGUGCAUGCUCUUUGAUGGAUGUCAUGAACAAGACUGCAACAAUCCCUAAACUAUCUUUUUUUGUUUCAGAUGAAUGUUGAGUGGGGAGGGCUGAGAAAGUUCCCAGCCCUCCUCUCUGCUUACUGAAACCUAUUAAUUUUCCAACUCAGUUAUGUUUGUGUCAUUAAAUGGGUGAGCAUUAGGUCCCACCAACCCACUUGGUAUGAUAUCAACCAACCAUUUACUCCUGAAUCAAAUUAUUGCCCAUUUAUUUGUGGCAGGUUGCUCAACUGUCUUUUCCUCAUGGAGGUUGAGUGCUUCAAGUUGCCACAAAUUUCUGUGUAGAUUUGCUACUGUACAUGCAGAUAUUAUCAUAUCAGAAUCGGACUCCUUUUAGUCCCAAGAAAGAUAAAGAGGAUGUCUGAAAAUAUAGCUAAAACCCAUGUGAUAUGGGCUGGCAUUCAUCAUUUGCAAUCUAAAUUUAAUAUUUGGAAUCGAACUCUUCUGUCACUCCAGCUUUUGUCCUGUUGAUUCUGUCAACAAUGCUUUGUCAGUAGUGAUAUGAAUGAUACAAAAUCCCUACAUGUGUCCAUUCCUUAGCAAACACCAUAAAAAAGAAAAGAUGUAGGUUGGAAGUUGGAAAUGAGUCAUGAGAGAGAGAGAGAGAGAGAGAGAGAGAGAGAGAGAGAGAGGUGCUUAACCCUAGCAUAAAGCAAGUCUGCUACUAUACUGUUUCACUUUGCCUUCUAUCAGCAGGAAGAAAGAGCAUAUCAAAUGAGUAUAAUCAUAUUUUUGAUGUAGUUAGUCCAACAGUAAUUACUUUCUUUAAGAUCAACUUUCUCAAUUUUUCUAUCUGAUGACUGUUACUCCAUAAUUCUUUGGACACCAGGCUUUCUUUCUCUAGCUUGAAUAUUUUGGAAUUUACCGAACCCCAAUCUCAAUCUCAAUCUCAUGAUUUUUACAGACCUCAAUGACUGUAAAAAGUAAAAGAUUUAUAUAAUCAAUCUCAAAGAGAUGGAAAAGACUUUAUUGUUGUUUAUUUGUUGUUGUUACUGAACCCCAAUCCCAAUCUUGAUUUCAUGUGUAAAAUUUCACGUUUAUUCAUCAAGUAUCUCAAAUGCUCGUGCGCAUUCAUAAUAAUCAAAAGCUGUUACCAUUUCUUCCUAUGCACAAUAUAGUAGUUUAGAGUAUUCCCGAUCAAAUGAAUGAAGAAGAAUGAAUGAAGAAUAAAAAUCCAAUCUGGUAUUCAGAGUUCUUUAAUAUGCCCAAUCAUAGUUUCAAUCCAAAGGAGAAGAGAACAGCAGCAAGCUUUGCAUGUACUGCCACAUCCAGGAUGGAUUUGUUUCGAGGACUGUUUCGAUUUGGAUAUGAAAUUGCGGAUACUCUAUUUUCUAUUUCCUAACAAAAAAGAGUUAAACCUUGCUUGCUAUAACAGAAUUAUACAACCAUCUGCCUCCCUGGUUGACUGGCUUUGUGAAAGCUGAAGCAUUCUGGACAAAUCCAGAAUCAGAUAAAAGCUUCACGCAAGUGCGUAGGUAGCUUUAGAUCAGGCUCGAAUUCACCAAGAGGUGAGAAAUAAUGAUCGACCAUGUCUUCUGAUACUUUUUCCAGAACUGGAGGAUCCCACUGCAUGGUUCAUGAAUGAAAACACUUCAUAAAAUAAUGAAAAUUUUGAACCAUUUUAAAUUGUUGCUAUAGAUUACCUUAGGAGCCAAGUCUUUAUCGACUAAUCGUGCUCGAACACCCUGUAGAACCAGGAGAAAGAGGUUAGGAAAUUUACGGAACAAACUAAAACCUUUCUAGUUGAUCAAUGGUUCAAGUACCUCGCAGAAGUCAUUGGAAACCAAUUUUGAGAUCCCAUGAAGCGACAUUCGAUACUCGCGAACAAGACAUUCAUCGAAUGUCUGACAUCUUCCUUCUCGGAUCUAUUUAAGUUUUCUGAGGAAACAUCAGCGGAUAAUUACCAAGAGCAUGGUAUUCAGCAAGAGGGUUCUAACAACUUACAGAUCGCAGGGAAACCUUUAAACUCAAUGGAGAAGCUUCUUUUAGUUUCUUUAAUGCAGAAAUACACCAAUCUUGCUUUGAUCUGGCUGCCUCAGUUUCCUGUGUGUGAUAAAGAACAUGUAAAUGAACGCAUUAUUGAAUAAGACCAAAAAUAUGUGUUCUUUCUACAGUGGGCUGCAAGAAGACUGUUGCAUUCUCUUUUUUUUUUUAGGUCCACCUCAUUCUCAUUUCAGCAUGGUUGAAAUGCAUGAAUAACUAAUAGACAAAAAUAGUAGAGAUUUAGUUUAUCUUCUAACUCUGAUGGUUAAGUUGGAAAAACUUGAUGCUUGUAGCUGACUAUUCUUAAUCCCAAGAAAAGGGUUCACCCUGGUAAAAAUUAACAAAAAAAGAAUCGUUGCCUACUCUUUGCUCAAAUGACUCACAGGUUGUGGAUGUCUUAAUCCUGACCCUUUUUUUUCUUUUUUUACAAUUUAUGGUGAAAUAGAGGGAAAAAAUGCUGUCUGAAUUAUUAAUUGUUUGAAACUGCAACCUGGAGUAAGGCCUCAUGUUGUCACUCAAAUGUACAAAGUGAUCCAAACAAAAACGAAAAAGAACUAUAUUUCAUGUCAAAGCUGUUAAAGAAAUAAAAACCAUAACAAUGCCACAAAUUAUGAUCAAAAAGAUUCUAGCAAUGACUUCAUGAUAAAAAUAAAGAUUAUACUUUGGAACUUAAAAAAAAUGAAGGACAAGAAUGCAUCCUCAUAAAAGCAAAUAGUGAUUUAGCAAUCUUGCUAGUGAAACAAAAUUGUGACCUAAGACCUUUACUUUUCCCUCCAGUUCUCACUAAUAAAUGAAACCAUGGUGUCAUAUGUGCAGCCACAGUAAUACAUGUACAAAUUAAUCUGACAAGAGUUGUAGAGAUCAAUGGACCAAGGGGGCUCACCAAAGCAUCCAAGAUUUCCUCAACAGUUUCAUGGCCAAAACAUUUAUCUAUGGCCUCCAGCCUGAACAAGGAACCAAAAUACUCUUCAUAAAAGAUGCAGCUACUUGUACAUUUUCAGUCAUUUAUAUAUAAAAUAGGCAAAAAAGAAAAAACAUCACAGUAGAUAUUACUAUGUCGUAUAAAAAAGAAUGACUAGUACAGCAAUCAUCACAAUCAGCAAAACAACAUAACAUUCUUUUGCAAAAACUAUGGCAAAAUAAAAUGGUUUAUACAUUAUACAUCUCUUCUUUGUGUGGAUACAUUUUGCAUGACAAACUAUGUUAUAGCAGCAGUGAAAUGUAUCAUGUACUUCAGAUAUGCAAGAAGCUUGUAAUCAGCAACAUCAUUAAUGUUGCUUUCUGAUAGAUGUUUUGAGUGAGGAACACAACGUAUAUAUCACUACUGGAGCUUGUAUCAUCUAAAUAUUAUGACUUUGAAGAGAUUAAAAGCAUGAGAAUACCUAUGAACAAUGCUAUUCUUAUCUGGAUAGACAAUAUCACCAUAUUGUGCAAGUGUUGAAUCAAUUUCUGAAGGAUCAUCAGUCAUCAACUUAGCAAGCCGUUCAUCAACCCAAUCAAGCCUCUAUUAGUCAAUAAAGAGGUGACAAAAGUAAGAAAACUGAAAUGAGAACAGAGAGAAAUUUCCAAAAAUGGAGUAAGGGAACAAACAUCACUCAUCGAAUAGUUUGUAGCAAGGCCAACUGCAAGCAUAUCUACCCCAUUGAGCUUCUCACCUGUUAGGGCCAAGUAUUCCCCUACAGCAAGAUCAUAAGAAGUAUUCUGCUCAAACAAAGAAUAAAAUGCACUGCUAUGAAAAUAAUUGGUCAAGAUAACCACAGAUUGAUGUGAUAGAAGUGAAAAAACCAACAAAAGCAAUACUGCAGAAUGAAAACUUGGAUCAUCAUUUGAUUGUCCAAUAUAUCCUUAUCAGAAAAACUAUGGAUAUUUCCAAUAAAGUUAACUCAGAUUCUUCUAUUACAUUUGAAGAAACCCAUAUGGCAUCUUAAAACUCACAAACUCAAAACCAUGGGCUGCCAUUUCGCCCAGACAGGUAAGAAACAAGCUGUAUGUUCUGGUCCAAGCGAGCGUGAACUGGUAUGUGCAUAAUCCUUGUUUCGGGUAGUCCGCUCCAACCAUUAAAAAAAAUUGAUUUAAGACUUUUAGAUGGCCUGAAUGUGAACCAUCCACGCGUUUCACCUUCUGCUGUCUGACGCGUACGCUUCCUCAUCUUCCCCUCUUCCUUUUCCUCGUCCUCCUUCCUCGUCUCCUUCCUCCUCCUUACUCUUCCUUCCUCCUCUUCCCCUACCGCCUCCUCUUCUUUCUUCCUCUUUCUUCCUCCACUGCCUCCUCUCUGUUCUUCCUUUUCCUUCCUACUCAUUCAUCCUUCUUCUUCCUCCUCUUCCUCCAUCGCCCCUUCCUUUCUCCUCCUUCCUCUUUGACUCACCUCUAUUGUAUAUAAUUGUCAGAACACCAGUACCAAUAGGCAUGUACCUGAACCAUGUCACUGAUACAGGUCCAAUACCCGAAAUAGUGAUCUAUGCUCAAAAUAUACUAGAUACACAAUACUGGUUCACAUAGAAAUGAUAGAACCACUAGUAACAUCAGAUAUGAGCAGCGGAUGGGUGAUUGCAGCAAAUGAAUUGACAUAUUAAAGAUUUGACAUGCGCCAGGAAUGCAACUCCAUAAAAACAACUGUACCUAGAUGACCAUUUAGAUUUGACAGGUAAAAAGAAGCCCCAGCAUCAGGAUGGAAACCUAUAUGAACUUCUGGCGUCGCAAAGAUCUGAAAUUGUUCAAACAAGCUGAAGAUCAUUAAAUAUAAUAUAUUACUUAACAAGUGAGCUCAACUAAAACUGAUGUUACUAGAACAGAGGAGAUCUAGGUACAGGUUGUUCUCAUCUAAAAGAUCAAAUUGCUAAAACAAUUCAAUUGCACAUUAGAUACAUCUUAAAAGAUUUCAAGAAAGAUACAUGUGCAUUCAAUGAUCCUUAAAAACAAUAGCACAUAGAACAAUGAGAAGGAAAAAAAGAUGCACAUAAUUAAUUUAAAAUCGUCCUUGAAAAUAGUUUUCUGUACAACUUUAUAUGCAGCAAGUUCAAGACAAAAAAACAAUGACAGGUAUACAAGAAAAGACAUUUUAUAAAGUUCUUGGGAUAAAGCUCAUGAAGCUAGUCUUUCAUUAUUUCACUAUAAGAAAAGGAAUAUGAUAAAAUAAUAUUGAAAAAAUGCUCAGAAAUAGGAACAUAUAUGUAUUGGUGGCCAUACAAAGAAACAUAAAUUAACUUUUAGAAAACCAUAAAACUCCAGUUUGCACAUUCCAUAAGUUGACAUUUACGAGAAGUAUGUUAAUGUGUGCAUAUAAGGAACUUUUUUGGUGCAUAAUGCAUGAAAAAUUGUUUUGCAACAGUCACAGAUAUAAAGCCAAUAUUACAGAAUUCCUUGAACAAACUUAGCGUUCAGACCACCAAGUUCACCUGAUCAACUAGCUUACAAGACUAAACAACUGUAAUAACCAAUAAUUUAUACUAGUAGAAAGUCUAAAGCUCAUCACUGUAUAAAUAUGAAACUCAUACGGUCUUAUCCGUUGCAAUACGAAAUGUCCCAGGAAUAGAGACUCCUGCUCCACCACCCAUGGUAAUACCAUCCAGGAUAGCCACCUGCACGAGAUAAUUAAGGUGCAACUUAUUAGAACAAGUGCUGAAGGAGAAAGGGCUCAAUUUGGAAAAGUAUGACAACAAUGCUAUGAAGUAUGAACUAUAUACAAAGUGGAGAAAAUAGAGUAGAGAGAUCAGUAUGUUACUAAGAGAGUGAAUUUUAAAGCUUCUGUACUCACAUGUGGCUUCAAAUAUGUACCUACGACGUAAAUGAACAUGUACAAGUUCCUGAAGAAGUCCUUGCAAUUUUCUACCUUACCUGCAUGAGAAAAGUAAAAGAACAUUAGUUUCAGCCAAAAGUAUGAUCAACUGUUAAAUUACAACAACAACAACAACCACUUAUGUCCCAUGUCUCAUUGUCUAUGUAACAGAAGAAUCAGAAACAUGAAGGAAUUUUGACUUCACCUACCAUGGAGGAGUUCUGAUUUUCCCAAUUGGUUAAGGAUAAACUUAAUUUCGAGUGACAUCAGAAGGUAGAGCAUUUUCAAGAUAGACAUAUUAUAAUAAGCCAAGUCCAUUCCAGUUAGCUUGAUUUUCCAGUUUAAAGUUUAAACUAUGGAUCAAUUGCAGCAAUUUCCAGAUAAUGUCCUACAUCCAGCAUUCUACAGCAAAUCAAUCGACCUACUUGUUUUUUAGGUCUGGGCUGAUUGUUGCUCUCCUGAGCAUCAACCAAUACAUGGGCUCCCUACAAGAACCAAUUAAUCAAUUUUCACUGCCUAAGCUACUCCUCAUAUUGUAAGACAAGCCUCUGAUAGAAAGAUCAUUGAUUAAUAAAUAUUCUGAUAGUUACUAAUCCAUGAACAAGACAUUUAACUGAAGUAGCAACCAUAAUAUCUGGCAGACAUUUCAGAAAAGGAUUAACGAAAAAAAUAAGAACAUGAUCCUAUACCUUCUAUUUUUCCUACUAAAUAAUCUCCUUCGUAUUUCCUAUUUGUUCAUCCUCCCUUUUUGUCUAAAAUAAAAACAUCACAAAGAUGUAGAGACUAGAAAACGUGGAUUUAUUUUUCUUCCCUAUCAAGCAAGGUAUGCAAUUUCGUACCGUACCGGAGUUUCGACGUUCACUCGGUACGGUACGAAACCGUAUACCGAGCAGUAUACCGUUCGAUAUACCGCUCGGUAUAUAUAUAAAUAUAAAUAAAUAAAUAUAUAUAUAUAUAUUUAUAAAAGACGGCGUCACGUCGCCUCGACGACGUCGCCGAACAAGGCGACGCAACGUCGCCUUUUAUAAAAUAUUUAUAUAUUAAUAUAUAUAUAUAUAUAUAUAUAUAUAUAUAUAUAUAUAUAUAUAUAUUUAUUUAUUUAUUUAUUUAUUUGUACCGGUAAACUGACGGACCAGUACGUACCACACGUACCGGACAGUAUUAUUCAAAAUUACAGUUGAUUGUGUUGCAUAGCUGAAAUGAUAAACUUCUUUUCCUUUUUAUUUAAUGUCGACUUUUGCCAUAGAGACCAACAUCUACACAAGUAAACCAAGUCAUAAUUCGGAAUUAAUAUAUCGUAAACCUUGUAACAUCACACAAAGAACACUAUACCUUCAUUAAGCAACCGAUAAAGUGUGACAACAUCCCCCCCAGCACAAAACGCCUUGCCGCUGCCCUUCGGAAGAUCACAAUCACAUUUAAGUUUCCUUACCGGUGAUUGAUGAAUACAUGUAUUACGCAAAGAAAAUCCACAAUACUACUAAUAAAACAAUUCGCCACUCUAAAUAAGCAAAGAGCUAACCUUCAUCAGGACAAACCCAAUAUCAGGAUUAUCCUCCCAAGAUUCAUAGAGUUUCUUCAACCGAAUCCCCUAAAAAGACCACAAUGCCUAGCCUCAUUUUCGGUCAAGCAAAAUCUCGAACACCAAAACUGCAUCAGGAAAGCAUACCAUGCUGGUGGUCAGAGCAUUGAGAGCAGAGGGCCGGUUGAGGAUUGCGGUACGGGCAGCCGCCUUGCCCUCUACGAGCACCUGAAAAUUCAACAAUAAGCAGCGAGAAACGAAAGGCAAUAAUCGGGAGUGAGAUCGCAGGGAUCAGGAUCGACGGGAGGCUGACCUCGUCCUGGAGUUCGUGGUCAUGGGCGGACGAGGGGCGCGUCGUAGAGAGAGCGCGGCGGAGAGACGGGAUGGACCGCCGGGCAGACGCGAGGGCUCUGAACCUUUGCAUCUCCGCUGGCCGCCGUCCGUCCGUAGAGUAGGGUUUUCGAAGACGACGGGAGGUAAUGAAACUUAAGUUACGGCGAAUAUAACGGAAAACUCCGAAUCCGUUAUAAUCAAUCAUUUAUCCCAUUUUUUAUUAGGAUAUAAUUCAGCCUAAAUUUUUAUUGAACUUUAAGACCAAAAUAUUUGGAAAUUAAUUUAAUAAAAGAAUACCUAUAUUGAAAACAUAAGAAACAUCAAAGAUUUGACUGCAAUGACAAAUUCAAUUAGAAAAUUCUCUUUUCACCAAAAGAAAAAGUAUGAUAAGAUUAUUUGAGAAAUUAUNNNNNNNNNNNNNNNNNNNNUAUAUAUAUAUAUAUAUAUAUAUAUAUAUAUAUAUAUAUAUAUAUAUAUAUAUAUAUAUAUAUAUAUAUAUAUAUAUAUAUAUAUAUAUAUAUAUACACACACACACACACCUUGCAAAAUCUAUUUUUAAUUGACAUUUUCAUUUAUCAUUGACAACCCUUAAAAUAGUUAUUAUGAAAUAGUAAUAUUAAAAUUUUUAUAGUUUAUAUCAGAAAAGAGAUAGUAUUAUUUAUAAUCAUGAGUGGUUGAUCCGAAUUAUUUUGAUGAUGGAUAGAUAUAUAUAUAUAUAUAUUGAUAUAUAUAUAUAUAUAUUAUAUCUAGUGCUCGUGUCUCAUACAUUUUGAACUAUAAAUAAUAUAUAAAUAAUAUAAAUAAUAUAUAUGUAUAUAUAUAUAUAUUAUCUUUACUUAAUGAUAUAAUUUAUUAUAUCUAUGCUUCAUAAAUAUGAUAAAUAAUAUGCUCAUAUUUUUUAAGAUUGAAGUAUAUGCUUUCCACAAAUAUCAUUCUUAGUUUUCUUUUAAAUAUUGAUUGGGUAUGCAUAAAUAUUAAUGUUUACAUUAAACAUUAUGCAACAAAUCAUUAAUGGACUUGAAUAUUAAGUUAAGUUACGGUAAUAAACAUACAGAUGAUGAUUAGAAAUGAUGGUUAAAUUUUAAUCAACCUUAAGUGAAUCUAAGGCUUGAAUGAGUUUGACCAUAAUUAAGUUUAAGUUUUAAACAUUAUAUAUAUAGAGAAUCAUAACCUAAUGCAUGAAGUAAUGAAAAAUUAAAUAGAGAUAUAAAUCAAAGAGAAGUGUUAUACUAAGUAUUGAGAUAAAUAAGUGAGAUUGAAGUAUGAGGUUAGACCAAAAAAAUAUCAAUCUUUAUCAAGUCAAAUUAAACUUAAUUAAAGUUGCUGGAACAUUAGAAUUAUAUUAGUAAAAGAAGAAAAAAAACUUUAAAUAAGGCCUAAUAAGACUAAAUCCUAAACCUCAAAGUAGUAAACACAUUAAUCUUAUUUUAAUCUUAUCCUCUUUAUCAACCUGAUAACCACUAUUUUUCUCAUUCUUCAUCCAUUCUCUUAGCUUUUCUAGGGGGGCUAGAAAACCUCUAACACUAAUAAAUGAGAUAAGAAAAACUCAAUUCUUUCCUUGCUAUAGAUUUUAGUUUUACAUAUUAUAAGUUGAUAUUUUUAGCUAUUUUUGAGUAACUUAGACUUUGAAUUAAUAUUUACUUUUUGAAUAUAUUUUAUAUGAUUCUCUUAUUAUUCUAAAGGAUAUGGUAUGAUCUUACUGUAAGAUUGGUAUAUAGAGUUAUGAUUGUCCUAAUUUGAGAUACAUAGAAUCUCUUAUUUUUUCAAAAAGAAUUAUAUUCGAGCUAAAUUAGCUCCCUUAGGGAAAUGAUUAUACUCUAUCAUUUUGAUAUGUUUCAAAAUAUUUUUUUAGAGUUAUGUGAGAUUUUAAAUUGAGUGAAUGCCACGUCUAUACACUAAGAUAUGAUAUUUAUAAGUUUAAAUAAUCCCAACCAAGUUUCAGUAGAACAAAAUAGGUGUUAUAGUUAAAUUAAGAGAUAGUUUAACCUCCAAAUGAUUUGAUUUUAAGUUAAAAUUUAGUGUGUAUUUAGUUUUAUAUGUCAUGUAGUCUUUUACAAAAUUUCAUUAUAGUUCAAUAUCGUUUGGUUAGCCAGAAUAGUAAAGCAAUUUUUUUUUUAUGAAAUUAUGCUAUGAUUUGAUUAAUACUAACUAGUUCAAAGUGAAUUGUUAGAAAUUUCAUAGUGAAAUUUAGAUAAAUUUUCAGGUUGAGUAUGGUCUAUUUUAUAUAAGAUUAUAUCAAACUUUUUUUUAUGAAUUAUUAUUAUAAAUUAAUAAUUCAAGAUAUAUGGUUCUUAAUUAAGAUAUCUUAUCAUCUUAUGCUUCCAAUUUGAUAUAUGUAUUGCUCCCUAGCAUACUCAAUCAUUAAAGAACAUGGUCUUUCAUUUGUAUCUUUAUUUUUUAGUUCAAUUAGAAAAAUAUAAGUUUAAUUCGUUAUAAAAUAGUAAUAAUAUAAAUUAUCGUAUGUAUAAUAUUUUUUGGAAAACAUGUUUCGAGUAAUAUCAUCGUUAUAAAGCUAAAUGUGAAUGUAUAUAUUUUGUAAGCAUAAUUAUAUAUGAAUUGUAAUAAAAAUAUAUUGCGUGCAUGUAUAUAACGAACAGUGUGAGAGAAUAUGUGUUUUCUAUGAUGUGCAGUGUGAUAGUAUACAGAUAUAUUAUGACAUUUAGUAUAGAAAUUUACAUAUAUAUUAUGACGUGCGGUAUAGAAGUGUACGUAUAUAUUAUAACAUACGGUAUGAGAAUUCGCAUAUGUAUUACGAUAACGUACAGUAUGAGAAUGCAUGUAUAUAUUAUGAUUUGGGGUAUAAAAGUUCAUGAAAUUGUUAUAUUUCCUAUAUGUGCAUAUAAGUAUUUGAAUUAUUUCGACAUAAAAUUUUAUCUUUAGAUACUAUGUUAUAGGGUUAUGCUUGCUAAAGAAGCCAUAGGAUGAGAUGUUUAUCAUCAAAUAUCUUAUGCAUAUAAUUUUAAAAUGAUGUAUACAUGACAUGAUGUAUGUUCACCUGAAUAAAAACGUAUGCUUAGUGAGUAAUUAUUCACUAUAAAUCAUAUUUUAUAAAUAAGGAUAUUAGUAUCCUACCCAAGUAAUUGGGUAGAGAAGUGAGGAUAUGCAAGCCUAUGCUAACGUAGUUAUGGACGAUAAUCUAUGGACAUUUUAUGUAUAUAACUUUUGGAUGUAUUAUGUUUAUAUUUUUCUUUUGGUUAGAGUCUAAAUACUGUAUAUAGAAGAAACCUUACAAUUUUGUUUAAUAUGUUAGCAUAUUUUAAUUUUAAGAUUAUAUACUUUUCAUUGCACUCCUAUAAUAAAAAUUUAAAAUGUGAUAUCAUGUUUUAGAGUAUGGAUGUAAUUUGAUACCUUGUGACUAAUAGUCUAAUACCAUGUAUUGUUAUUCUUUAUAUGAUAUAAGUCACAUUUAUGAUCAUUUCUUUAAGAUUCUCGAACUCUAACACAUUUAAUUUUAUUUAAUUUUAAAGGAUUCUACACUUAUUAUCGCUCUAUAAUAAAAAACUAACUUAAGUAUCGAAGGAAGUUUAUUGAAUGCACUCUUAAUAUAGUUUUGUAUAGUUCAAUGCUUUAUAAUUAGAGAGGAUUCGACUAUUCUCAAUAUUAGAGAGAAGCAUGGAAUAAGAUCUCGAUUAAAAUUGAUAUGAAUAUGUUAAAAAUCAUUUAUUAUUUAUAAUCACGAGUGAUUUUCUUUAAUUUUUUGAUGGAUAAAUAGUGACAAGAGAGGCAUAUCGGUCGCAAUAUUUAGAGAAAUAUUUUAUAUUGUUUCAAUAGUAUAUAUACAAAUGUUUAAAAAUAAUGACUGAUUUAUCCCAAAAAAAUUUACUUUAUAAGCUUUUUACGUGGGCACUCCACUCUUAGAAUAUUAUUCUUUUUAAGAAUAUUAUUUUAUGUCUACUUGAUGUAGAAUUCAUUUUUAUUGUUGAAAUGAAACAGUUAAAAAUGAAUUGAAUUUGUGAUUGGAAUUGGAAAACGAAUAUAUUUUUAACAUGGGCUCUUAGUAGACCCAAAAUUAAUAUGGAAACUUCACUACGAAUCACUUAUUAUAUUACAAUACCUUAACAUAUCUAUAUAUUUCCUACAAACAUACAUGUAAACUCGAUUUCCUUAUUUUUCCCUCCUUUAUACAUUAGUUUUCUUGGUCGUCGUCAUUAAUCCACACUUAGACAUCCAAGAAACCGGGCCUCUUCAACCAUCAAGCUCCGAAGCAACCUGCGAAGUGGGGAAGAUGGUGGUGGUGAUGGUGAUGGUGAUGGUGAUGGUGAUGGUUGUGGUGGUGGUGAUGGUGGCCAGCGCCGCCGCCUAUCUCGCGGUCGAUGGCGUCCUGAACGUGGCGGAAGUGCUCAAUGCCGCAGGGGAUGGCGAUGGGCCCCGCCUGGUUGAAUCCGUACUCCGCCGCCGCCUCGUCCAGAAGCUCCGCGAAGAGCGGGUGGCUGAGGUGCGCCACCGGCACCACGAACCGCUGCUGCUCCUCGCCUUCCGGUCCCACCCGGACCGCCAUGCACCCCCUGGGCGGCGCCCCCGCCUCGGUCGCCGCCUUCUCCUUCCUCUCGUGGUGGUGGGCCAUGCCAAGCUGCAGAAAGCUCAUCGAUCGACGGUGGUCUGCUUGGUGGUGGCAACUGUUCCCCUUCCUCUUCUCUUCUUCUCCUCCUCCUGCUUCAAUCCUCGUACAAAGAAAGAGAGAGAGCGUUUUCUUCUGAUCCAAGGAUUAAGUAGGCAACUAUCGAUCCAAAUCUAAAUCGAGCAGGCUUAGGACGGUAAUGGACGGACAUAUAUAUAGGAGGAGAGAGGCGGUGUGGCUUUUUGUGCGGUUUUGGCGUUGAGGAACGCUUUCCUUACCGGCUAAUCAAGUCGACGCUCGUUUCUUCUACGACUUCUCUGUCUUCUCCGAUCUGAUCGCCGCGCGUCUCCUCUCACAGCCCGACGCAUCUCCAUCUUCUUCUUGGUUGACCAAAGACUUGAGAUCAUUGACUGACCACCCAGUCGCGUACUCGCGUGCCGACUCGUGACGGCCACGGGACCCACGCGGAACACGAUGGAGAUAGCAUGUGCAGCUCGUGUGGUAGGGUCGCUGAGUACCGGUCCAACACGUUUGGUUUUGACGGUCGCGGGACCCACUCGGAAGGUAGAACGGAUCGGCCGACGACGUGAAUAACGUGUGGUAAUAUACUCGAACUUAAAUCGUUAAUACUUCUUCAAACCUGCUAAUAAUAAUGACUAAUAGUGAUUAAUCAGAAUUUAUUGGACGGAUUAUAACGGGUAUAGAUAUGUCGUCAUCAUUACAUCGAUACAUAGUGAUGGGCAUAAAUGUAAUUGCACGAACAAUUUAGACGAACACACAGUUCACAUGGGAAUGCAUCUUCUGACGUCCUCAGGCACCCACCUCGACUUCAAGCUUCUUCUUCUCCUCCUGCCCCUCCGCCUCGUCGACGAAGGCCGAGAUGGGGAACGACCUCCCGAUCCCCACCGCCGACUUGAAGUAUAUCUUCGCGGCAUCGGCGUCGGUGAUGCUCAUCUCAGUGAUGGGCACCCACAGCAGCACCUGCUUGCUCCUCACCCCCGUCAUCUUCUUCAUCUUCUUCAUCUCCACGUACGCCGUCACCACCCUGUCGUACCUCACCCGAGUGUUGGUUCCGGUGAAGAAGUGCUCGUACGGCUCCUUCUGCUUCAUCCACACGAAGCCCGUCGCCUGCACCCACCCGCACUCUUCGAGGUUCCUCAGCGGGAGGACUCCUUUCGGGAAGCCGACCGCCUCCAGCAUCUUUACGGAGUGGCUGUAGCAUUCUUCCGCGCCGUAGAUGAUCUCGGCGCCUUCCCUGUCCUCGUUGCUGAUGACGAGGGAGCCCAUGGCUAAUGCAAGUUUUGGGAUGCAAGCCUUGUCUUAGAGAGCUGUCAUUUAUACAAGCAGUUUGCGAGCAAGGGAAGGUGGAAGGUGGGGAAGUUGAGCUAAUAGGAACAGUUAGGUCAUCUAAGAUGUGUCAAGGUGGGUAAAAGGAAGUAGAGAUCGCCACCUAAUUUAUAUUCAUCUAACAAAUAGACUAUGAUUUCCAUGAACUUGUUUGGUAAUUACUUGGAAUAUUAGGAAGUCAUCAAGAACCCUUUUAACAUAUCCUUCCACGUUCAUCGAUUUGCUCAUAUGUUGAAGCUGCACAAGAACAAAGCAAGUAAUUGAAUUGGCAACUUCAUUAGUUCAUCAUUGGCAACCAGCCAACAGAGGAUGGUGUUUGAGGACUGCUGGAUCUAUGAAGAUGAGCAAACCUAAAAUCUUGCGAGUACUUGACAAGGUCACAAGGAUUGGUAUCAGCAGAUGUCUCAAGACAGCAUUACUUUGAGUGACUGCAGAGACUGCAUGUAAGCUAUGAAAUACUAACUUCUUUUACAAGUUGAUGCAUCUAAUGAAUCUUUACAACCAUAAUAUAAGACUAAAAAUUCCCAGAAAUCAUAUUUGGGAAGCAGCAAAGGGGUGCUCAAUAACAUUCUCAAGAGCAUUAGUCAAAUUCUUGGGUUAAAUAUGAUGGCUACAAAAAAAGGAAGGUUUCCCAGCAACAUAGCAUGAGUAAGAAUAAAACUUCCAGCCAGAAAUCACAUGAUAGCCAGUAAAUCUGAGAUUUCAAACAACAGCCAUGCAGCAGUACACAAUCAAGCACCAAAAAAUUGUCAAUGGACUAUCAGCAGCUUUGGCAGAUAUCUCACCAACACAAGAAAAUCACAUUUCCAUCAGAAAGAACCAAGUUGAUGCAAAUUUUAACCAACAAGCGUGAGAAGGAAAUCACUGCAUCACAGUAAGUAGCAAUACAUCAUAGUUCAAUAAUUUCCAAGUCUUUAAAUUGACUAAUGUAGCGAAUUUUGUAGAGGACGAAUAAUUAUGACAGAAUGCUUAAUCUGCUUUGGUGAAGUGCCGGACAGCAAAGGCUAAGCCCAAAAUCAUUAUGGGCACAAGGAACUGCAAAAUUCUGAUUACAAACUCUGAAGUUUUAUCUGGAUUGUAGGAUGCUUGCUGAGGUGGUAUGUAGGUGCGCGUUGUUGGAACUGUUGAAAGAUCUACCUGCCCAAUGUAGUACUUGGCCAUCAUAUCCCUGGCAGAAUUACUAUGACCUAUAUCCUCGAAAUCAUUGGUGGCAUCUUUUCCUGCAGAGAGAUUCAGAAGAGAAUUUUACUAUACUUUGUAAACAUAAAAGAACAUAAACUUCUGAAUUUUGACUGGUCUGAUUAUGAUUCCUUUCGAGUAAAGCAGAGAAAGCAUCCAACAAAAAUCGUAAUCACAAGGGGCAGCAAGUUACAAUACAAGGCAAGGGUCAAAAAGAAAAGGAAAAAGAUUGAAUUCUUACCGGUUACUGCUAGCAAAACCUCAUCGCCACCAGGAUGCUCAUCCAAAAAUGGGGUGACAUCAUAAACCUGAAACGAUCAAUCAUUCACUGGCAUUAGUCAGCAGUGAAAGAAAAUGUGGUGAACAUGUUUAGUGACAGCAAUAUGUGUUAAGCAUGAGCACACAGGAUUUUCACAUAGAACCUCUUCGAUGAGUAAUAAAGCUAGAAGAUAGCAUAGAUUAUCAAACCAAGUAUUACAGCUGAUUCAGAAAUUAAGUCAAUAACACCCAGCUAAGUGCACAGGAUCCUAGUCCAAAAAGUAUUGGCAGUUUAACGACUAUUUAAAUUCUGGAAUUGGUUGUGAUAUUUGAAUGUGCCUAAACAUAUCAUCCUUUGAUCACAAGGGAUGCCUUAAAUGGCUAAAUAUUUAUUUAAAGAAUAAAAAGGAGAAGGAAGAGGUUAAGGAUACAUAUCAUUACCAUUAUUCCAUAAUUUUUAUAGUUUCUGAAGCCAGCCAGCUAGCUCGUGCAUUACAGGUUUCACUAAUACGAGACCAAUUAAACUUAUGCCUAAAUCUAUCAGGUUCAGGUUUUCAUUUAUGUUAUAUGCUAUAAGGAUACAAUUCGAGAUAACCCUUCAACCCAUAUGAUACAUGCUUCCCUCAAAAAAAUUGGUAAAGAAAUAACAUCAUUUAGAAUGAAAUCUAGACAAUCAUAAACAAUCACAAUUAAUUGAUUAGAACUGCUAAAUGCGAAUAACUGUUGAAAGCUAUACGAUUUACUAAGCCAUAAAAAAGUAACUCCAGAAAGUCUAGCUGUAGAGAAUAUUUGGUAGGACUAUGUUACCAGAGAUUAUUAACAUGCUAUAAAAUAAACCUGAAAAGAAUUAGAAACUUGGAAAGAUCAUAUGGGUGCACAACACAUUUGGUUGGAGGAAUAUCUGGCCAGAGACUAAUGAAGUCUUAGUCAAGAGUGCAUCUUGCCUACUUCUAGUCUCUUGCAAAUUGAAGGGUCUUAAUUGAAGCCAAGGCUACUCAUGAUUAAACUGACUACCAUAUAUGUAUCUUUUUUUCACAAAGGAAGUGGUUGGUUUUGCCAUCAAAACCCUUAAUAGUUUAUAGCAUGGGAAGAUCCUUUAAUAUUUGACUUAAAAGGGAUCAUUUAUUAUAAACCCAUAUAAAAUCAGGAACUAACAUCCUUUGCCUAUUGUUCUAUAUGCAGUUGGGUGUAACGUGAGGCCUUCAUAUCAAAAUCAAAUCUUUUGCUAAGUGCCCCAGAUUCAUACUGGUGAAUAAUUAAUAUUAACGGCAGCAAAGGUUACUGCGAACAUUCCAAACCCUAUUUGGGUGUCACGCAGCAUAAUCUUUAUUAGCUAAUAGGCAAAUCAUGUGUUCUUUCUACAACCAACUCUCCAAGAAUCAACAAUCCGAACCCUGUGAAAUAAAGAACUCUUUUUCCCACCAAAAUUUCCCCUUUCUCACAGAUCUCAACUGAGCGACCUUCAAAAUAAAGAGUACUUAAUAGUUCUUGCCAGAAAUUUCUAACGCUGACAAAUCCAUCAAAAUCAACUAAUCGAACACACACACACACAGAAUUGGUAGAAGAAAAAGGUAGGACCUUUCCGGAGAUGAUGAGCCAACAGUCUUUGGCGACGUUAUGCUUGGAGACCUCAUCGAAGCGAUACACCUUGGAAUCGGCCAUUUCCUUGAUGCAAAUCUGCAAAGCAAGGAACGAAUUGCAGGUCACAAACCAUGCAAAAGAGGAUUAAUAGAGCGACAGAGAGCUGGAAAGCCUCUCACCUACUCCCAGGCUGUAGUCCGCUAUGGCUGCUGCGGCUGCGCUGUGAACUCCGCCAUCUCCACGGAGUCGAUUUAUCAUCGCCAAAUGACGUAUAUGUCAUCAUCCUUCUCGCAAAUUACGGAAAUAUCCAUCAGUCGGCACUUCGAAGGGCAAAACCUUUCCUAUUUAUUGACUCGUUACCCGCGAGUUACCUGCUUUCUAAAUGGCGGUUGGGUCCGAUCGACCAUACGGGGUCCACAUAAUUCAAUUUAUAGUCACUAAUGCAGGUAGACAUUGGGUUCAAUUCUUUUUGAAUUUGCUGUAGCUUACUAUUCAUCUAUUUUUUUUUACAAUUGAUAAUACUAUCCAUAGUCCUUUUUUUCACUAGUAAUUUAUUAUUAUUAUUAUUGAUAAUUUAAAAAAUAAUAAAAUAUAUAUUUUUUAUUUAUAAUCUUAAUAUUAUCGAUUUAUUUUUUUUCUUAAUAAUCUCUUAUUUCAUCCUUUGUCAAUGUCGUUUUAGUUACCAUCGAUAUUACAAUAUUGCUCAUUUUUAAGAUCAAUUGUCAUCAUCAUCAUUUGUCGUGAAUGCUAUAUGACCUCCUCGACUACCAGGAGGAGGAUAUUUAUAAUAAAUAAUUUAAAAAUAUUUAUAUAAGAUUAUAAAUAAUUUUUUUAUUAAUUUAAAAUAAAAAAAUUAAAUUAUCCCAUUAUCUUAGGUAGAGAUAUCCCUACUUACAUUGACACUUCUCCGACCUCUUACUUACCUUCAAAAGCAUUGAAAUAGUUGGAGAUUAAAUCGUUUGAGUCCUAAUAUUAAAAUACAUUCAAUUCAAGAAUGAAGAAAUUUAUAAUAGUUAUUAUUCUAUUAUUUUUUACAUCGACAAUACAUUACGCUUAAAAAAAAUCAUUAGGCAUAUGGUUCAAUUAGUUCCUUCAUUAGUUCAAUCAAUAACUUAGUGAUCGAGACUUGACCGGAUAGAACAAUGAUAUAACUUUGUUUGGAACACUGUUAGGGGCAAUUUUCUUAUAUUUUCAUGACAACCUUCCAAUAAAAGAAACGAAGUGUUAUGUAUUAGGAAAUUGCAGCCAAAGAAAGAAAGUCAGAUUCCUCACGUCUAAUGCCGUAAUACACUCGCAAUUCGAUCAUAGCAGCCAUAUGACCGGUCCAAUUGUCAACAUUAUCAUUCUGCCAAAAUGAAGUUGAUGUGAGCAACCCAUAGUCAACUGUCUUGAGCAAAUAAGAAGGCUUUUUUGUCAACCUCAUCUUACGUUGACCCUUCACCUUCUUUUCCGCUCCAAGAAAGCAUUAUCUAUCAAGAUGCUAAGGAUCUCUAUGUACUUACUGAGGUCAUUACGGCAGAAGAGGAGACGGUACAUUCUUUCUCCACAAACAAACUUUUCAUUCUUUCUGGACCACGUAAGAUAUCCUUCAACAACUUGGUUGCCUUGCAAGUUACAUGCACUCUUUUCUGUGAUAGCAUCAACUCUUUCCCACUACAAUCUGCAUACAAGAGGAAAUGCCAAAGUUUUAGGACAUGUAGAAGGUGCACUGCGGCAUUUAUUUCAUACGAAAUCAACUUUCCUCAACAUUAAAAACUGUGUGUGCAUUAAUGGUUCACCACACAACUUGGUACUGCAAGAAGCCUUCUCUCACAUACUCGGGUGUGGUUGGCCAUUAAUUGUAUAAUUAUGCUGUUAAGCAAAGGAAACAUCAGAGAUUUGACACUCACUUUCCCGGAAGGAGUUCCUCAAGGAGGUAAAAUCUGACUUUAAUAACAUUUAGGAAAACAAAUCCACAAGAAUCCAAUGCACAAAUAUACUGAACUACAGAAAUCAGUUGUGAUUUGUAUAAAGAAUACCUGCACCGAAUAAUACAGUGCGCUGUUUCAAUCAUCUUUGACGAAAAUGCAUGUUCACGUCUGUAAACGCUUGGCCGCUGCACAGGCAGCCUCAAGAUCCCCAAGAAAGAAAAGGAUUCUAUCCGGAAUCCCUGAGUGAUGCUCUUCGACACCUUGUAGAGGCGCUACAUCAUCGCAACUUUCAUUUCUGAGAUUGCGCAUGCCCAGGUAUUUUUGGAUUUCACCUUGAUGGAUGAGAUAGUAAUCAUUACCUUCUGUGAUGAUCCUUAGGCCCCUGAGAUGCAAUACCCAAUUGUUUUGUUCUGAAUGAGCAAAGAAGCAGAGAUUUGAUGCUAACUGGUAUAGAAAAUCUACAAUGCUAUCGUCAAGCUACAAGCUCUAACAUAUGAUGAAGUUAAAAUUACUUUUCCAGACAAGUGCAUGAAGUUUCCCCCUUGGGAUGCUAAAUUUUUAGUUGCUAAGACUUCUGACAAUCUUAACCUUCAAGGAAAACCACUGCUUAAAAAGAAUAUCUUCUAUGGGAUGACCUUGAUUGAUGACCAGAAUUGAAUAAGAAUAAUAUGCCAAAGGGAAAAUACCAGAGAAAGCAUAGUCCAAUUCGAGUCUCUGCUGUAAUAAUUAACUACAGAAUCCUCAAUUUAAGGUGAUUUGUUAUAAGAAGGUUGCACUAAUUGUCAAUCUGGUCUGGAAUUAGUGAUUGUGCCAAAACAAGUCACUUGCUUGUGAGAAUGUAUUACUGUAUUAGAUCUGAUCACUGUUGAGGCUAUUAAGCAUCUUUCGUACAGUAUCUGAUGAGCCAAUCUUGUCUGAUAGUAGUCCUAGUCAUAACAAUAAAGUUUGACAAGGUUAUCUGUCCUAAUUUAAGGACCACAUUAAGAGACCAAAAAAUAAAUCUCUUCAAUACGAAAAAGAAAGGUGGAUUUCCUAAGAAAGUAAUCCUCAUCCUGAAUAGCCCUUAUUCAUAACAAUUAACAUUGCUAAGAUUACCUGUAUUAAUUUGAGGACCACAUCUAAAGACUCUGAAGAGACCAAAACAAAACUUCUCUUCGAUAUCAAGAAUGGCAUGGACAGCAAUUAGAAGGAAAGAAAUGGGAACAGACACUCAUAUAUCAAAAAGCAUGUCCUUUUGAUUCUCUUAGAAAGGUUCUUUGGGGCCAGACAAUAAAAUUUCACUCAAAGAUAGAUAAUUUGAAACAGCAACCGCUUUAAUGAGACAAGUUAGUAAUGUCUAGUGAAGAUUUCUUUUCUCCAAAUUACAAAAAAAUAGAAAAUUACUAGUCAGUUACUUCCGUUUAUUAGACUAAGCUAGUUGAUUCUUUUCUGCUUGUGAAACCUAAUACUGCAUAUCCCUAUCAGUUAUUUAUGUUAAUUUAACAUUAACAUCUAACCUGGUAGGGCAGCAAAACAAAAUUCUAUAUAACCCAAAUUUAUGAUCAAUGAGCAUCCAUACACAAUCAUUUUUAAGAGUAACUCAGAUAUGCAUUCUUUACAUACAGAAAAAUAUUAGCUGAGGAAUCUCCAUCCCAUGUUCCAAUCAACCUAUAAUUAUAAGUAUGCUUAUAAUGGAGACAGAAGUUCAACUAUUUUUCAGUAACAAUAAUAAGUUGUUAAGCUUAUCUAUGCAGUCUGUGUGCUAAAAUACCUCAGUCACAAGGGAUUCUUAGUUCAAACAAAUCUUUCUUUGGUAUUUCAAGGAAAAUCUUUGUGCAACUCCACUAAUCAGAUAAAGCAAUUGGCAUUUUGGGUUCACUUUUUACAUAAUGCAUCAGUUCCCUACUGAUGUUUAUACCUAGGUGAAAUUUCCAAGCUGUGGAAAUAUACUCACUCUUAUUGCAGAAAAUCGGUAAGAUAGCUAUCUACGUAAUGCAACUGACUUUAGUAAUGAAACCAAUUUUAGUUAUCUUCUGAUUAUGUCCAUGAGUAACAUUGAGUUGAUUAGAUGUGUUAUGUCCUUUAAAUGCAGCAUAUUCCCAUUGAAGCGAUAACUUUGUCACAACUUACAGGCAAGUUUCCAUACACCAGUAAAUCUUGUUACUGGAGCUUUACUGAAGAAGAUGUAUAAUACAGCUUUGACGCAUAAAACACUAAGAAAACAUAUUGCAUCUUGCAACAUGCACUAAUCUACUAAUUUAAGUCUUUAUUUGAUCUGCACUACAACCAUCCAUAAUAAUUAAGUGUUGCUAAGUUUUAAUCACAAAGUAAUUCGAUACCAAGCUACAUAUAUCUAUACGUAUAGAAGAACUCUGAAGCAAUGUUUCUUAAGGUGAUUUAUAAUGUCAACUUCUGUUUGCAGAUCCUUUUGAAGAAAAGGAGGACGACACAAGAUGAGCCAAAAACUUACAGUCCAAACCGGUCACAUCGGUGUUGCACUAUGUAUACAUCCUUCCAGGAUUUGGGAUCACUUGGGGCGUAAAAUGCUGCACAGUCUCCUCCCCAUCUUUCCUUAAAUAGGUUGGACCACAGUGCAUCAUCGGAUGCCAAUACCCUCCACUUUCUGCACACUAGAUUUCAGCAUGAAUCAGUAUUGAAAGCCUUUCGAAGGUAGAUGUACCCACAGUGAUUACAAUACCAAAUUUAUAAUACAAUAACUUGUGUACUAAUUUUCUGCCUUGCUCCAGGAAGCACUAUGAUCAGAAGGAUAACUUCACAUAAGCAAGCAUACUAUUUGGUGCCAUAACAUUCUAUCACAGCAAUUCUUAAGGAUAUGAACUGAAAGCUUCUAUAUACUUAGAUAAUUGAACGCCGAAAAAGAAGUGCUAAAAAAUUGGAUAAUUAGUGAGCAUGUCAAAUUAAGCUGCCAGUGUAUUAGUUUACAAUACCUAAAUGAACUAACACUCCUAUCUGUCAUUGCUAUUUGUGAUCCCAAAGCAAGUUCUUUUUGCGCCCAACGUGAUCUACCAAGUACCAAUUACACGUCUGAUGAAGACAUAUAUGAAUUGCCGUGCAAACCUGUCCUUUUAUCAACAUCUAAAGUUGCUUGACACUUCUCAUGAAUCAAGAAACGUAUUUCCAGUACAAGCUACACAUAUUUUACGAUAAUGUUUCUAAUUGCAUCGCGAACGGCAUAAAGCUACAAAAAAGUGGAAGGCAAUUUUGAAGAAACUGGCGUCGAUUAGUGAGAAUUCGGCAAGAACAAGAAACGCGAAGAUCUGCUGCGAAAGGGUAAGAAGAGGCGGACCGAUGGCAGACCUUGGGGAGCAGCAGCGAGAGAUGUAUGGUUCAACAGGUGGAAGAUCUUGAGGCACAGCUCCCCCGGCAAUCUCUCCAUGCCCAAAUCUCCUCUCGAGAAUUCCCAAGCGAGAGCGAGAGAAGAGAGAGAGGAUGAUGAUGCUUCGGCCGAACGCUAGCAUUGCAGCCCACACCCUUCCGCCAGUCUCGUGAUUGGAUGCACCGACAUGGGACCCAAAGGGCCGUGAGACGCGCAAGACCAACCACGUCAUUCCACGUGUGCGCCGAAUAAAGACGGAUUUAUUCUUAAAUCAAAAGCAUCCUCUAAAUAGUCUAAAUAAGCUGUAAUUCCUCAAAAACACUAAUUGAGAAUUUGUCGAAUUAAAAAUAGUUUUGAAGAUUUGAUAUAUAAAUAUAUAUAUUGAAGUAAAAAACGUAAUUAUAAAUUCUAGAUUGGACAAGUCGAUCGGCGUCGUUCAUUCCAAGUGUCCACCCUAUUGCCUUUCAUUCCAAGUUGACCCCCUUCUGCAGCGAGAAGACAGCUUUUGUUCUUUCUCCUGCAAUUUGUGAUUUGUUUCUGUACGUCGAUACCGUCGGUUUCAGCAACUCUAAGCGAGAAGCAAAAGUGAUCGCCUCCGAUUGACACUCGCAUCAAAUCAGAAAUGUUGUUGUACCUGUUACGUAAACACAAUACAGCCGACCAACAGUAACCUAUAGGAACUCAAAAAGUAAUGGAUAAGCCAAUCUGACAUGCUAAUUUAGAAGCAUAAAAGAUCUCAUCCACUGGCUCAUAAAUUAUCUUCUGAAACCAAAGUUUGAGACACAGCUAAUUAUCCUGACCGAUUCCUUUUUCUUAGUUAGCUCACCUAACUAAGAGAUGAAAUGAACAUUCUUUUAGGCCACUUUUUUCUCGGAAAACAUGUAGGUUUCAUCACCAGUAGAAAAUUCCAGAUUGCUGCUCCGAUUCAUCUGUCUCAUAUCCAUAAUCAUCAAGCAGCUUCGAACCCUCAUGUUCGAAGCACUUGAUCCUUGACGCCGAUCUGACCACCUCAUCGUCCACUUGAAGACCCAGGCAAUCCUUCACGGUCAAUCUUUCUAGCUUUCUGCAGCCAUUUACGAUCACCACCAACUCCUCCUUCGUCAAGUAGGAUUUGCUCAGCUCCAAGUGGUUCAGGUCCGGAAGACAAUCCACGAUGGCCUUCGCGUCUUCCUUGCCGAUCAGACCGCGCACCUUCAACCGGCCGAACCUGCUACAGUUACGGCCGAUCACGGCGAUCAUCUCCAAGAAGGAGGAGGGCUUCGUCUCCAUCUCGAGCUGCUCGAGGUCUCUCCAUCGCCCGACGAGCUCCGGGAUGAGCAGGUCGUCUUCUAGCAUAAAGUUAUCAGGCAAAGCCAGACGCUUCAACCUCGGGCAUCUGAUGAUAGGUAUGUAAAUCGUAACAGACAUCGCCGGAGACGAAGAAGACGAGAUGGAGAGAGGCGGUCAUACUCGGACUCACUUCAUCGAGACGAAGGUCAGGUCUUGGAUCGACGCGCCGAAGGACAAGGGGAAGAGGAGCUCCGCCGCGGAGCCGCGGCUGCGGGCGACCACGAACCUCAUGAAGGCGGAGAAGGAAAGGCUGCUGAGGCGGUCGCAAGAGGUGAAGCUCCUGGAGAAGUGGCUCCACGGCAUCAAGUCAAGCGACCGGAAGUCGAGGCGCCGCCAGCAGCCGGGAUCGAGGGAGGCGCGCCGCCAGCACCUGCAGACGAAGGGCACCGAGAGGGUGAGGUCGUGGAGGCCGAGCCGCCGGAAGAUGUCGACCAGGCAGUCCGCCGGCAUCUCCUCCCACCUUCUUCCGCCCUCCAUGUCGGGAGAGUCUUCGUUCAACGUUGGCCUUGGCGACUCGCUCUGCUUUGGGUUGAUUGGAUUAUAAGCGCAAAUCGGUUCGAUUUCGAAUUCGCCCGAUUGAAUCAGCACAUUCUCGUGCCAAUUUGGGUUUAUGUUUUCGGACCGGUCCACUUGGAGGCUCGCGUUCGAAGGUCUCAUCUACCACAGGCUGAGCAGUGACGGCUGUCCAAACUAGGCCGGUGCAAUUAUUAGAGUGGUACCAACAAAUCGAUCAGCGAGGGUUCGAAUCGAAAUAUAUCACCAGCCACCGACUCCCCCCACCUAAAUUAUGUCCUCCAUUCUUUUUGAGUGAAAAGAAAGAUAAAAAAGAUAUAAAGUUUGGUGAGAAAAGACGGCACAUGUUCAAAUAGUUCCAUGGUUCCCUGUGGAGGGGUUGCAUGACAGGCAAUAAUUAUAUGGAGUUUCUCAGAUUAUAUGACAAAGAAUAAUGUUGAUAUCCUACGAGGAUUCAAUGUGUCAUGAAAAAUGCUGCAUAAUUAAGGUAAAAUCAAUUAAAUGUGUGAUACACAGUAACAUUGUUUAUUUCGAUGAACAAUAACUAAAGGUGAACUAAGUGAACAUUUUGAGAGAACCUUAGCAAAUAGAAAGAACAGAAUAAAAGAGGACUCCGUGUUGAUUAGGCUUGUUGAGUUCAUCUUAUUUGUUGCAUAACAAAAUCUAAAGCUGAUAGACAUGUAAUGAACAUAAUCAACUUACUUGGGUAUAGUGAUCAGGCAAUUGACAACAGCAGCAGGAGGACGUUGAUCGGCCAUCUGCUUCCAUCUACCCAGUCUGACUAUUACAUAUGUGGAACUGCAAGGCAGAAUCAUAGAGUCCAGAGAAGAUUCAUAGGCAUCAUCUACAAGAAAGGGAACAAGCAACGGAGAAGAACAGAGAAAGGGAAGGCGCCAUGAAAGAAGACGACCUAAGGAACAAAAGAGAGAAAAAUUACAAAGUUUAUCGUGGAACACAUAAGUCUGAUUUAAAUCAGAAAGCAUUCUCAUCCGGUAGGAUAAAGUGGAGGUUUAAUUAAGUUGACAAAAAGACCAGUCAUCCAAAAUCAAGCUGAAAACCUGAAUUUUAUAACCUCUAAUGUGCCAAAGAAUACUCCCUCAAAAGAUUUAGCCAUUCUGAAAACAUCAUCAGCUGAAUAUAAACAGCAAGUUGUUUAUAUUCCAUUUUCUUCUAAAUUGCUAAUGGCAUCAACUAGUUAGUGUAAGAAUUAUUUUCCUCCAUCCCUUUGAUAUGACCGACCCUAAUUAGUAUACCACAUUUCCAGAUUGUGAAGUUGAAUCAUCGCUACAUUUAUAUUUCAUCAUGUCAGUGUUUCUCUUCAUGGCACAAACCAACUGUGUUUUAAAAUGAAAAUUAGGUGUCAGCAUAGCAAUUAAAAUCUUAGACGAAGUAGAUACCACGGUUAAUUACUCAACAUAGCUAUUAAAAUCCUAUGAGCCAAAGAAGUGUAUCAUAAAAGACUGUAAAACAAGAAAUUAUAACAUCUGACUAAUUUUUGUGAUUAUCCACUUUGGUCAAAUUCAUUUUAUCCUAUGCGCAAAGAUAUAUUUUUAUUACCUUUUCUUUUUGAAUAGUCCAUCAUAUUAUUGCAAUAACUGAAAUAUAGUAGUUCAUGUCAUUUCCUGGUACUGUCUCAAAGUUGCCAAAAAAAGUAAAUGAUGUAGGAUUUAAUGCAUGAGCAAGAAGAAAAUCAAAAGAUGAAAGAGUAAAGACUAGCAUACGAAUUGGAACAUGAAAAAGUUACAUGCCAAAAAAAAUGUAACUUAGCUACAAAUGUUAGAAAAAAAUCCUUGGAAGUCAUGAGAAGUUUCUAAUGUGCCUCAAGGUGGGCUUAGAUGUGAGGGAAUCUAUAAAAGGAAUUAUGUUUUGCCGGUGACAAUUCCAUGAUAAGAUAUGUCAAUACAAUGUUAAAGUAAAACUGAAAAAAUGAUGCCAAGAUGGCAUGGUGGUGCUUUGUGUCUCUGAACUAAUUAAUGUUGAAGGACAACAAUAAAAUUUCCAGUUUAGCAAAAGAUAUGAUUGUUCUUCAUAAUAUUUUACAUAAACAAAGAACAAUGUCACUCUGAUUACCUCCAAACUCCGAAACAAGUAACAGUGAAAAGAAAAUUUCUAUGCAUUUUUCAGGACAAUGCUUCCACCACCUACAUAUGAAAAAUAUACCUAGAAUUCCUGUUAAACCAAAUGAGCAAACAAAUUACAAUCAGUUCUAGUUAUAAACACAAAAAUAACUUUCGAGCAGCUCGACAAUGGUGCCAAUCCAUAGAAUGCAUUCAUUCAAUAGGAAAAAGAAAAAAAGAGUCGAUCCAACUUCACCAAGCAGAACCAAUGGAUCUUUUUAUACUUCACGAGAAAGUAAUGCCAAAAAAGUAUAAUCAACAACAUCCUGAACUCAUGGAUGACAAGAUCAGACAAGGAGCAUGACAACAUCUAAUAGCCAAAGGAAAAUCUUUGAUCACAAAAAGAAUACGGAAGACAUUAGCAGGAUUCUGACACACAAAUGCAAGAUCCAAGCAGCUAAUGCUCUAAUUGUACUUUACCACAAACAAGUAGCACAGGAUUAACUUGACAAGCUCCUGAUUCAUGCAAGCAAAAAUCCAUAAUAUGUAAAACUUAUCACUUGCGAUCCUACAUCAACUCAAUUGUUUCUAAUAAGCUUAUUGCAAUAAUCUUUCUGACCCUCCGGUCAUUCCACCAAACGCGUUAAGGUCAAAAUUUGGUAUAUCGAUAACAUAGACUUAUCCGAAAGGACAAAAGAGAGGGAGAGAUCGAACCCUAGAUGGGCACGUAUCUCCUCAAGACCUGCUUCCCCGCUACAGCAGCUCCAACCAUGAGCCCGCCGAUGGCGCCAGCGACGGCCGCUGACCGCGGCCCGUUGGCGGCCUUGAAUACGGCACCGGUACCGAGCCCGGCGACGACGCUGUUGACCCAGUCGUCCGUAUCCCUCGCGGCAACCAUCCCGCUCUCAAGCCCGGCGUACAAGAGGCCGAUGACGCCGACGCGGUUACCGAUCCGGCGGCCAUUCUGGCCGCAAGAGUUAAGGACGCGGUUGAGCCGGAUCUUGAGGGUGUCCCCAGGCUCAGCGGAGCGGAGAGCGCCGCGCAGGCCGAGCGAAGCGCCGGCAGCGGCGCCGGUGAGGUACCCGAUGCCGGUGUAGUAGGUGAGGUUCUCGCCCCAGGAGCGGCGCUGGGCGACGGACUCCUCCUGGAAGAGGAACUCCGGCGAGGUGGGGAGGUCGUAGAGGGUUCGGUAGGGGAUCUGCAAUUCGUGGUAGGGGCUGUAAAGCC